RNAcentral lists this ribosomal RNA (348 nucleotides) under uncultured bacterium. RNAcentral's name for it is "bacterial SSU rRNA". It matches the Rfam family "Bacterial small subunit ribosomal RNA", at positions 343 to 690 of the family's 1533-position model. The record is from RNAcentral.
GGGAGGCAGCAGUGAGGAAUAUUGGUCAAUGGACGAGAGUCUGAACCAGCCAAGUAGCGUGAAGGAUGACUGCCUAUGGGUUGUAAACUUCUUUUAUACGGGAAUAAGUGAGGCACGUGUGCCUUUUUGUAUGUACCGUAUGAAUAAGGAUCGGCUAACUCCGUGCCAGCAGCCGCGGUAAUACGGAGGAUCCGAGCGUUAUCCGGAUUUAUUGGGUUUAAAGGGAGCGUAGGCGGACGCUUAAGUCAGUUGUGAAAGUUUGCGGCUCAACCGUAAAAUUGCAGUUGAUACUGGGUGUCUUGAGUACAGUAGAGGCAGGCGGAAUUCGUGGUGUAGCGGUGAAGUGCG